RNAcentral lists this ribosomal RNA (738 nucleotides) under Cephalobellus sp. 1 KH-2020. Its description in RNAcentral is "partial large subunit ribosomal RNA". It matches the Rfam family "Eukaryotic large subunit ribosomal RNA", at positions 382 to 922 of the family's 3401-position model. Lineage: Eukaryota; Metazoa; Nematoda; Chromadorea; Rhabditida; Thelastomatidae. The record is from RNAcentral.
AGAGAGUUCAAGAGGGCGUGAAACCGCUGAGAAGGAAACGGAUAGAGUUGACGAAACUCGGCGGCAUUCAGUCGAUACGGUGCCGGAUGCCCGUGCCUUUGUUUUCACUUCUUUACGGGGGUGCGAAGGCAUUGGUUGCGUCGGAACUGCGAUCGGUGUAUUUGCCGUCGGUAUGCGCUGAGAAAUUCGUUGUGGUGCGCUGACACCAGCCUAAAGAGGACCAUACUCGUCUGAGCGUGGAAACCUUUAGUGGUUGAGGCGUAUCCGCGGUGAAUCUGCUUUGCAGUGCGUUGCCCCGCUAGGGCGCGACGGUUGCUACGUGGUUGAUGUGGCUAUUGAGCGGUCGCAUGCGACUUGCUUAUAGUCGACGUUGGCUCGUUGGCGGCGCGGUUGCGUUGGGCGUACGCGUCUCGGUGUGAAAGUCGACCACCUAUCCGACCCGUCUUGAAACACGGACCAAGGAGUCUAGCAUAUGCGCGAGUCAUUGGGUGGUAAACCUAAAGGCGUAAUGAAAGUAAAGAUCGCUUCAAUGCGGUUGAUAUGGGAUCCGUGUGGUUUCGGCCGCGCGGCGCACCAUAGCCCCGUCCCCGUUGCUUGCAAUAGGGCGGAGGUAGAGCGCAUACGCUGGUACCCGAAAGAUGGUGAACUAUGCCUGAGCAGGAUGAAGCCAGAGGAAACUCUGGUGGAGGUCCGAAGCGGUUCUGACGUGCAAAUCGAUCGUCUGACUUGGGUAUAGGG